This 379-nucleotide ribosomal RNA is filed under the name uncultured bacterium. RNAcentral describes it as "bacterial SSU rRNA". It matches the Rfam family "Bacterial small subunit ribosomal RNA", at positions 521 to 896 of the family's 1533-position model. The record is from RNAcentral.
UAAAACGUAGGAGGCAAGCGUUAUCCGGAGUUACUGGGCGUAAAGCGUGCGUAGGCGGGCUUGUAAGUGGGUGGUGAAAGCGCCCGGCUAAACCGGGCGAUGUCCAUUCAGACUGCAGGUCUAGAGGCGGAUAGAGGAGUGCGGAAUUCCGGGUGUAGCGGUGAAAUGUGUAGAGAUCCGGAGGAACACCAGUGGUGCAAACGGCGCUCUGGGUCCGUACUGACGCUGAAGCACGAAAGCGUGGGGAGCGAACGGGAUUAGAGACCCCGGUAGUCCACGCCGUAAACGAUGUCAACUAGGUGUCCACCCGGCUACGGUCGAGGGGGUGCCGAAGCUAACGCCAUAAGUUGACCGCCUGGGGAGUACGGUCGCAAGGCUA